This is a microRNA precursor of Gopherus agassizii (Agassiz's desert tortoise), 84 nucleotides long. NCBI's taxonomy places the organism in Eukaryota, Metazoa, Chordata, Testudines, Testudinidae. The record is from Ensembl.
CUGCCAGAGCUGUGGAGUGUGACAAUGGUGUUUGUGUCCAAUCUAUCAAACGCCAUUAUCACACUAAAUAGCUACUGUUAGAUA